This is a non-coding RNA of Oncorhynchus mykiss (rainbow trout), 1530 nucleotides long. NCBI's taxonomy places the organism in Eukaryota, Metazoa, Chordata, Actinopteri, Salmoniformes, Salmonidae. The record is from RefSeq and is a predicted model, not a curated record.
AAGUCUGCUCUCCACUCUCAACCAUUUCGAGGAGCGGCAGUGUGUUUGGGGCUUCUUUGUGCCCUCUUAGUUUCAGCCAUUAUAGGCCUCUGUGUCUACUGUGAGUAUGUGGAUCAUAAAGUAUUAUGGAUUUUGGAGAGGUGUAGAAUGACAUCGUAGAGUAAACAUGUCCUUCUCUCUCCAUAGUCAGCACUGCUCUCUCAAAGCACAACAGAAAGUUAGUGGGGGAACUGGCGGCCAAUCAGGACCUAAUGAAUCUCAAUAGCAAUCUGAGUACAGCCAAUCACAUUUUGCAGAGUGAUUACACCAAUGUCAGCACUACAAACCGACGUUUAGCGGCAGAGAAAGAACAUGUGUCAAGAGAGAGGGAUAGACUGAACUGGAAUCUUCAGUUCAUAUUUCAGUUUGAUGACUUUCCGGUCCAGAAAUAUUGUUCACAAAACGUUGGCACAGGAGAGAGAGUGUGUAACUCUUGCCAAGAUGGCUGGAUUUUGUUCCAAUCUAGUUGUUACCUGAUUGUGCAAUAUGACACUCCAUGGAAGACCUGGACGGAAAGCCAACAAUAUUGCAAACAAGAGAAGGCUGAUUUGCCCGUCAUUGGCAGCCGAGCAGAACAGGAAUUCGUUCAUAGCCACACUAAAGAAUACUAUGAUAAGUACCAUGGGUAUUGGAUCGGUUUGACGGACAAAGCUGAAGACGGCAAAUGGCUCUGGGUUAAUGGAGGUCAUCAGAAUCUGACUGAUGGGUUUUGGAACAGUCAAACUGGGGGUGAUUGCGUGUUAACUGUCCCAAACAAUGCACCAUUGGCUAAUUGGAAUGCUGUACGGUGUGAUAUGCAGAACAGUUGGAUCUGUGAGAGUAGAGCAUUAAUAUGGUCAGAUUAAAUUGCAGGGACACUCUCUUCAGAGGUAUUCUCACAUACUGAGCUCAUAUAUUAUUGCAUCUUCCUUUGAGAAUUCAAUUAAGUUGUAUUCUUCUCAUUGAAGGACCCCUGCAUCUGCUUGUUGGGGUCAAAUCAGAUUCACUCAAUUCAGGAAUUGAUUUUAAUAUAGAAUUCACAAAGGAAAACCUUAAUUGGCUGACGCAAACACAGGUCUGUUUUGUACGUUUUUGAAAUGUUAACAAUCAACGAUCUGUUUUAAUGUAGCUUUGGUGAAUUGAAAAAAUAAUGUUUAGUUUUGAGCUCUCAUAUAAAUCAGGCACAUUUUCUUUCACAUCAAUUACUUCAUUAUGACAAUGAAUUAGUGCUCUUAUAUUGUCUUAUUGUAUUAUGUUUUAUACAGUUGUUUCUAUGUUCACAAUCAAAGAUCAACUGUAUGUAUAGUAGUGUUUUAGAAUAACAUUUGUUUUGGCCUUUCAUAGAUCAGAAAUCAUAUAAUAUUCAGUUUACAAAGUAAAGCUGGACUUGCCAUCCAAGAUUUUCUUCCUUCAAUUUUUAAACUUCUUAGCAUAAGAAGUACAAGUUUAUGAUGAUGCUGUCACCACCAUACUCCACCGUAGGGAUGGUGCCAGGUUUCCUCCAGACGUGAC